UUGCCAUCAGGUAAUGCUGGGGACUCUAAGGAUACUGGCCCGGUUAACGGGAGGAAGGUGGGGAUGACGUCAAGUCAGUAUGUCCCUUACGUCCAGGGCUACACACGUGUUACAAUGGCCGGUACAAUGAGUUGCGACCCUGCAAAGGUAAGCCAAUACUCAAAAAACCGGUCUCAGUUCGGAUUGCAGUCUGCAACUCGACUGCAUGAAGUUGGAAUCGCUAGUAAUCGUAGAUCAGCACGCUACGGUGAAUACGUUCCCGGGCCUU
RNAcentral lists this ribosomal RNA (268 nucleotides) under uncultured Leptospiraceae bacterium. RNAcentral's name for it is "partial 16S ribosomal RNA". It matches the Rfam family "Bacterial small subunit ribosomal RNA", at positions 1115 to 1382 of the family's 1533-position model. The record is from RNAcentral. Lineage: Bacteria; Pseudomonadati; Spirochaetota; Leptospiria; Leptospirales; Leptospiraceae.